UCCUGGACUGGCAGCGUCGGCUCGUUUGAACCCCGCCUUGGUAGUUCUUUGGGUGUAACCUGUAUUGUUACUGGACACGUUUUGGAGCAUUUUUCAAAGGACAUCUAGAAACUUCAGGACAUUUCUACAGAGACUGGAUGGAGCUGGGCACAAGCCUGUAACCUCAGCACUCUGAGGCAGGAGGAUCGUCCUGAGUUCGAGGCCUGAGCUACACAAGAGCCUCUGUUAAAAAAAAAAGAAAAAAGGAGAUGCCACCACACAGUGCAACGAGCAAGCCCACAUAUGCUGACAGAUCCAGGACACAAUACCACAAAGAUCCAGCUACACAGGAUCCACACUGGAAGAGAUGACCGAGACAUACUGCCAGAAUCUGCUUGU
Fukomys damarensis (Damara mole-rat) is the source of this 378-nucleotide long non-coding RNA. RefSeq lists it as uncharacterized. Lineage: Eukaryota; Metazoa; Chordata; Mammalia; Rodentia; Bathyergidae. The transcript has 3 exons. The record is from RefSeq and is a predicted model, not a curated record.